Molecule: ribosomal RNA, 253 nt
Filed under: uncultured bacterium
Lineage: Bacteria
Description: partial 16S ribosomal RNA
Rfam family: Bacterial small subunit ribosomal RNA
Source: RNAcentral
UACGGAGGAUCCAAGCGUUAUCCGGAAUCAUUGGGUUUAAAGGGUCCGUAGGCGGCUUUAUAAGUCAGUGGUGAAAUCCGGCAGCUCAACUGUCGAACUGCCAUUGAUACUGUAGGGCUUGAAUUAUUGUGAAGUAACUAGAAUAUGUAGUGUAGCGGUGAAAUGCUUAGAUAUUACAUGGAAUACCAAUUGCGAAGGCAGGUUACUAACAAUAUAUUGACGCUGAUGGACGAAAGCGUGGGGAGCGAACAGG